Molecule: long non-coding RNA, 203 nt
Filed under: Mytilus galloprovincialis (Mediterranean mussel)
Lineage: Eukaryota; Metazoa; Mollusca; Bivalvia; Mytilida; Mytilidae
Source: RNAcentral
AUUGUUGCAAACUCCAUUAAAAAUUUGAAUUGAUGUUAUUUUUUGAAUAAGGGAAAGGUGAAGUGAAAACAAAUUGGAGAGGAGGGGGGUUACAAUUUUUCUCAUUUCAGAUUUCAGCAAUUAAAAAGAAAAUUUCUUCAAGUAUUUUUUUGAGGGGAUUAAUAUUCAACAGCAUAGUGAAUUGCUCAAAAUAAAAAAAAACC